CUACGGGGGGCAGCAGUGGGGAAUAUUGCACAAUGGGGGAAACCCUGAUGCAGCCAUGCCGCGUGUAUGAAGAAGGCCUUCGGGUUGUAAAGUACUUUCAGCAGUGAGGAAGGGUGAUAAAUUAAUACUUUAUCAUUUUGACGUUAGCUGCAGAAGAAGCACCGGCUAACUCCGUGCCAGCAGCCGCGGUAAUACGGAGGGUGCGAGCGUUAAUCGGAAUUACUGGGCGUAAAGCGCAUGCAGGUGGUCUGUUAAGUCAGAUGUGAAAGCCCGGGGCUUAACCUCGGAAUCGCAUUUGAAACUGGCAGGCUAGAGUACUGUAGAGGGGGGUAGAAUUUCAGGUGUAGCGGUGAAAUGCGUAGAGAUCUGAAGGAAUACCGGUGGCGAAGGCGGCCCCCUGGACAGAUACUGACACUCAGAUGCGAAAGCGUGGGGAGCAAACAGGAUUAGAUACCCUGGUAGUC
This 464-nucleotide ribosomal RNA is filed under the name uncultured bacterium. RNAcentral describes it as "partial 16S ribosomal RNA". It matches the Rfam family "Bacterial small subunit ribosomal RNA", at positions 339 to 795 of the family's 1533-position model. The record is from RNAcentral.